AUUGAACGCUGGCGGCAUGCUUUACACAUGCAAGUCGGACGGCAGCGGGGUAGUGCUUGCACUACUGCCGGCGAGUGGCGACCGGGUGAGUAAUAUAUUGGAACGUACCGAGUAAUGGGGGAUAACCAAUCGAAAGAUUGGCUAAUACCGUAUACGCUCUGAGGAGGAAAGCAGGGGACCUUCGGGCCUUGCGUUAUUCGAGCGGCCAAUAUCUGAUUAGCUAGUUGGUGGGGUAAGGGCCUACCAAGGCGACGAUCAGUAGCGGGUCUGAGAGGAUGAUCCGCCACACUGGGACUGAGACACGGCCCAGACUCCUACGGGAGGCAGCAGUGGGGAAUUUUGGACAAUGGGCGCAAGCCUGAUCCAGCCAUGCCGCGUGUCUGAAGAAGGCCUUCGGGUUGUAAAGGACUUUCGUUAGAGAAGAAAAAGGAGCGGUUAAUACCCGUUUCUGCUGACGGUACCUAAAGAAUAAGCACCGGCUAACUACGUG
Molecule: ribosomal RNA, 490 nt
Filed under: uncultured bacterium
Lineage: Bacteria
Description: partial 16S ribosomal RNA
Rfam family: Bacterial small subunit ribosomal RNA
Source: RNAcentral